GACGAACGCUGGCGGCGUGCUUAACACAUGCAAGUCGAACGGAAAGGCCCUGCUUUUGUGGGGUGCUCGAGUGGCGAACGGGUGAGUAACACGUGAGUAACCUGCCCUUGACUUUGGGAUAACUUCAGGAAACUGGGGCUAAUACCGGAUAGGAGCUCCUGCUGCAUGGUGGGGGUUGGAUAGUUUCGGCGGUUGGGGAUGGACUCGCGGCUUAUCAGCUUGUUGGUGGGGUAGUGGCUUACCAAGGCUUUGACGGGUAGCCGGCCUGAGAGGGUGACCGGCCACAAUGGGACUGAGAUACGGCCCAGACUGGUACGGGAGGCAGCAGUGGGGAAUAUUGCAAAAUGGGCGGAAGCCUGAUGCAGCAAAGCCGCGUGCGGGAUGACGGCCUUCGGGUUGUAAACCGCUUUCGAAUGUGACGAAGCGUGAGUGACGGUAAUGGGUAAAGAAGCACCGGCUAACUACGUG
Molecule: ribosomal RNA, 468 nt
Filed under: uncultured bacterium
Lineage: Bacteria
Description: partial 16S ribosomal RNA
Rfam family: Bacterial small subunit ribosomal RNA
Source: RNAcentral